AAAUUGAAGAGUUUGAUCAUGGCUCAGAUUGAACGCUGGCGGCAGGCCUAACACAUGCAAGUCGAACGGUAACAGGAAUCAGCUUGCUGAUUCGCUGACGAGUGGCGGACGGGUGAGUAAUGUCUGGGAAACUGCCUGAUGGAGGGGGAUAACUACUGGAAACGGUAGCUAAUACCGCAUAACGUCGCAAGACCAAAGAGGGGGACCUUCGGGCCUCUUGCCAUCGGAUGUGCCCAGAUGGGAUUAGCUAGUAGGUGGGGUAACGGCUCACCUAGGCGACGAUCCCUAGCUGGUCUGAGAGGAUGACCAGCCACACUGGAACUGAGACACGGUCCAGACUCCUACGGGAGGCAGCAGUGGGGAAUAUUGCACAAUGGGCGCAAGCCUGAUGCAGCCAUGCCGCGUGUAUGAAGAAGGCCUUCGGGUUGUAAAGUACUUUCAGCGGGGAGGAAGGGAGUAAAGUUAAUACCUUUACUCAUUGACGUUACCCGCAGAAGAAGCACCGGCUAACUCCGUGCCAGCAGCCGCGGUAAUACGGAGGGUGCAAGCGUUAAUCGGAAUUACUGGGCGUAAAGCGCACGCAGGCGGUUUGUUAAGUCAGAUGUGAAAUCCCCGGGCUCAACUUGGGAACUGCAUCUGAUACUGGCAAGCUUGAGUCUCGUAGAGGGGGGUAGAAUUCCAGGUGUAGCGGUGAAAUGCGUAGAGAUCUGGAGGAAUACCGGUGGCGAAGGCGGC
RNAcentral lists this ribosomal RNA (735 nucleotides) under Escherichia coli. Its description in RNAcentral is "bacterial SSU rRNA". It matches the Rfam family "Bacterial small subunit ribosomal RNA", at positions 1 to 725 of the family's 1533-position model. The record is from RNAcentral. Lineage: Bacteria; Pseudomonadati; Pseudomonadota; Gammaproteobacteria; Enterobacterales; Enterobacteriaceae.